RNAcentral lists this ribosomal RNA (465 nucleotides) under uncultured bacterium. Its description in RNAcentral is "bacterial SSU rRNA". It matches the Rfam family "Bacterial small subunit ribosomal RNA", at positions 338 to 795 of the family's 1533-position model. The record is from RNAcentral.
CCUACGGGGUGCAGCAGUGGGGAAUAUUGCACAGUGGGCGCAAGCCUGAUGCAGCCAUGCCGCGUGUAUGAAGAAGGCCUUCGGGUUGUAAAGUACUUUCAGCGGGGAGGAGGGUGUUGUGGUUAAUAACCGCAGCAAUUGACGAUACCCGCAGAAGAAGCACCGGCUAACUCCGUGCCAGCAGCCGCGGUAAUACGGAGGGUGCAAGCGUUAAUCGGAAUUACUGGGCGUAAAGCGCACGCAGGCGGUCUGUCAAGUCGGAUGUGAAAUCCCCGGGCUCAACCUGGGAACUGCAUUCGAAACUGGCAGGCUAGAGUCUUGUAGAGGGGGGUAGAAUUCCAGGUGUAGCGGUGAAAUGCGUAGAGAUCUGGAGGAAUACCGGUGGCGAAGGCGGCCCCCUGGACAAAGACUGACGCUCAGGUGCGAAAGCGUGGGGAGCAAACAGGAUUAGAUACCCGGGUAGUC